This 520-nucleotide ribosomal RNA is filed under the name bacterium enrichment culture clone DWBac18. Its description in RNAcentral is "bacterial SSU rRNA". It matches the Rfam family "Bacterial small subunit ribosomal RNA", at positions 1 to 524 of the family's 1533-position model. The record is from RNAcentral.
UAGAGUUUGAUCCUGGCUCAGAUUGAACGCUGGCGGCAUGCUUUACACAUGCAAGUCGAACGGUAACAGGCCGCAAGGUGCUGACGAGUGGCGAACGGGUGAGUAAUGCAUCGGAACGUGCCCAGUCGUGGGGGAUAACGCAGCGAAAGCUGCGCUAAUACCGCAUACGAUCUGCGGAUGAAAGCGGGGGACCUUCGGGCCUCGCGCGAUUGGAGCGGCCGAUGUCAGAUUAGGUAGUUGGUGGGGUAAAGGCUCACCAAGCCGACGAUCUGUAGCUGGUCUGAGAGGACGACCAGCCACACUGGGACUGAGACACGGCCCAGACUCCUACGGGAGGCAGCAGUGGGGAAUUUUGGACAAUGGGGGCAACCCUGAUCCAGCAAUGCCGCGUGCAGGAAGAAGGCCUUCGGGUUGUAAACUGCUUUUGUACGGAACGAAAAGGCUCUGGUUAAUACCUGGGGCACAUGACGGUACCGUAAGAAUAAGCACCGGCUAACUACGUGCCAGCAGCCGCGGUAAU